CCGUCGCCCGACACAGAGUGCAUUCACAUAGGGGCAUAUUGCUCCUGGAAUUUAUCUCCUUGAAACAACCGGAACCGUGUGGGCCGUGUACUGGGUGUAGACGUGUAUUAUAGUAUAAACAAGUGCCUAUGAAAUGUGAAAAACGGAGGAGUUUUUUUUCAAGUAUUAGUUUUUUUUUACUUACAACGUAGAAUAGUUUGAAUUGGCGUUGAUUCGGGAGUGUAAAACUUUUUGGCAAGUUGUACGAGAUUCUAGAAUUAUGACUGAUUCUCGAAUCAAAAAUUGAUUCUUUUGUGAUUUUUGGACUAAAUAAUCAUGAUUUUCUUUUGCCAAAACCACGUAAUUCUUACUGAAAACUGUGAUUUUCUGAUUCUUUCUGAAAAUAAAAAAAUCUUUGACAAGUGUACGAGCUUCUUGCGAGUUUUACACCCCUUCGUUGAUUUCUUAUGUCACUACUCGAAACUGGACGCCUCUCCCGAAAAUGUUCAAAAAAUGACAAAGCAUUUAAGUAGAUUUUUUUUCCAGUGAUGUGUUGAAUUAAUACCUAAUUCAAAUCGGUUGGUUUGAGAAUUGCGUAUUUUUCUGUAUAAAGAAAUUUGGUUAGUUAGGUACGGUACUUACGGACUUACGAUUAUUUUAACUAACAACAUUCACUGGAUGAUUCGAAGGUACAGUAUAUUACUUACCUAUCAGCAGCUGCACUCACAAAGUCGAUCGAAACUAUCAGCGGAAAUCGUAAGAAUCUAUAUAUUCACAACCAACCAUGAAACAUUUUUGCGCUUUUUUGCUUUUUCAUUUCAAGGAGAAAUAGCUCUAGAAGAUUCCGAACUAUUUACAGUAACAAGUAAGGUGAAUAUCCAUUCCUUUUGUCACUUGAAAAAUGUGCCCGCCAUUUAAAAAACUCAAAAGAUGAGGAGAUGGGGAGAAUCCUUCCCAUCCUUCCAUACCAAGUAUCCAUCCGAUUUGGGUUCAGUCAUCUAAUAUCCGCAAGUGCGGUACUCCAUUUCACCAUGUUAUUCUGCAUUCGAUGAUCGUUCGCCGUUAUUAGAACAAAAACAGUACGCAUCAUAAUUGACGUAUGCACACUUGACAGCCAGUAGGAAAAUUCCUGAAUGACUUAGAAUGCCAGCAGAGAAACACCUGCUUUUGAUUUCUCUGUGGCUUGCCACCAUGUACCAUUCGUUUAGUGGCUUUCGUGUUGGAUGGCGAAUUUAGUCGGGCGAAAAAGUACUUUGUUACCGUUCUAAAAAUCCCUGUGUAGUGAAGACAAGAUGUCGAAGACUAAAGCUUUCUGUUCGUUCAAGCUUUCCAGAAUGUCAAAAUAUUUAUUAAGACGCCACUCCUGGCAUACAGCAUGACGUAUACCUGACAGGGAAAUACGUUAUUUUAUUUUAAAUAUUACAUCAGGUUGCCGACGUCAUCCUUACAGCAGAUAUUUUAAAAAAUUUACUUUCGUUGCCAAUGCUCUUAGAAAUGUGCGAUGACGAAGAUUCUAAAUUUUUGCACAAAGGUAAGUUAACGACCCAAUUUAAUAAAUCCCCCAGCGACUUUGAUGAGGACGUGGCUUAUGCUGAUCUUAUUAUCUGUCCAGCGUUGGUGUCCAUGGUUUCGGAGAACACUAGAGUGCACUAUAAACCUAAAUGUUGAUACCUUUUCAACAGUCUAAACGAUAAAGAUGUAACGGUGAAGUAAACGGCACAAAACAUUUAUUUACGAAAUUUUGAAACAAAUUUUAGCUAGACUUCUCCAAGAUAUCUCUAGAAGUAUGUCGUGUUCGAGCUUUGACCACCUCCUGUAAAUGUUUUGGUAACAGGGAGAUAAAUGGGUCGCCAUGACCGACGUAUUUAGCAAUAGAUUCCACGCAGCACCUUUACAAAGUUUUCCAUUAUGCUAUUUCUACCCAUUUUCCAUAUAUUUACUAACCUGAGAAGAGUUUUAGGAGUGACAGACAUCGACAACAUGUUUUCAGCAUAAACCUGUAAACAAGGGCCGUGAUUAGGUAAUAAGUGAAAGGAGAAAAUAGUUUUAUCCUAUAAUACCGUGCCAUCUGGCUGGUAGCUGUGAAUAUUACUUCGAACUCCACCUAUCACGAUCCAAUCGCUGUCGACCUUAACACUUUGAUGCCAUAAUCGUUUAUCGGACACCUUUAAUGGUAUUUCGGUCCAGUUAUUUCGGUCUAUAUCGUACAUCCAACAAUCUCCUAUGAAAAUACACUCAAUUACAUAGGUUAUUGUAAAGCAUAGUGGCUAUAAUUAAACCUAUUUUUAAAAUACAGUUUCAGCUGAAAAUUCGCAAUGCUUGUGGUCCUUAUCUGAACAGUUUUCUACGAUUUUGGCCAAACAAUGUUUCGCUCCGGCAAAUCGUCGUACUGCCGGGUUGCCAGCUAAACGAUUUCUAUUCUUCUGAUGGAAGAAACGGGGUUACAUUGUUUUGUUUUAAGUAUUCCUAUCCCUAACUUUCUUUUACGUAAUUUCUAAGAAGAUAAGAUUAGUUGACAGCCCCUGGUAAAAAAAUGAACGCCACAGGACCACAUACAGCGCAACAUUUUUGGACAGAUUAAGAACGAGGACGAAAAAAACAAAAAAACAAAAAAGAGUUAUAUGUAUAAGACAAUCUAGUAAUAGAAAGAUAUGAAGUAUAACUAUACCCAAUACUUCUCCUUCUGCUGAAAGACCACCGUAUAAAAUAGCUUUAGAUGACCCUACAUAAGUGAAAGAAUGCCACGAUCGACCACAAGGGAAGAGCUUGCCUGGAUUUAAACUAAAAGGCAGCUAUUAGGCAGAUUCGAUCACCAAGAAGCAAAAUAGUACUAUUUACUUUUCGCUCCACGACAUGGACUUCAAGUCAAGAACGUAAAGAUCAUUCAAUCGUGUUCCCUGAAGUCUACCACCGAAGAUAUACACACGGGAUUGGCAUCGAAAUCCAGCAAGAGCUGCACGUGGACUUGGAGGUAGCCCACUAGUUUCUGGCCAUUCCCAUCUGUUGCUAUUAAUGUUGUAUGCAACCAACUGAUUAUUCCAUCCUCUUCCCAUAUACCAUUGAUGACUUCUAUCAGGAAUAUAAUCAUACUGAUCAGCAUUGCGAUCGUCGUCAGCAGGUGUACCAAAGCCACCAAAAAAGAAAACUCUAAAACACAAGUUUGGUAUCAGUAGCAAAAUAUAGUCAAUACAAAAUUUCAAUUUA
RNAcentral lists this long non-coding RNA (3183 nucleotides) under Daphnia magna. Its description in RNAcentral is "uncharacterized LOC123469346". Lineage: Eukaryota; Metazoa; Arthropoda; Branchiopoda; Diplostraca; Daphniidae. The record is from RNAcentral.